This 510-nucleotide ribosomal RNA is filed under the name uncultured bacterium. RNAcentral describes it as "bacterial SSU rRNA". It matches the Rfam family "Bacterial small subunit ribosomal RNA", at positions 9 to 513 of the family's 1533-position model. The record is from RNAcentral.
GAGUUUGAUCCUGGCUCAGAUUGAACGCUGGCGGCAGGCCUAACACAUGCAAGUCGAGCGGUAGAGAGAAGCUUGCUUCUCUUGAGAGCGGCGGACGGGUGAGUAAUGCCUAGGAAUCUGCCUGGUAGUGGGGGAUAACGCUCGGAAACGGACGCUAAUACCGCAUACGUCCUACGGGAGAAAGCAGGGGACCUUCGGGCCUUGCGCUAUCAGAUGAGCCUAGGUCGGAUUAGCUAGUUGGUGAGGUAAUGGCUCACCAAGGCGACGAUCCGUAACUGGUCUGAGAGGAUGAUCAGUCACACUGGAACUGAGACACGGUCCAGACUCCUACGGGAGGCAGCAGUGGGGAAUAUUGGACAAUGGGCGAAAGCCUGAUCCAGCCAUGCCGCGUGUGUGAAGAAGGUCUUCGGAUUGUAAAGCACUUUAAGUUGGGAGGAAGGGCAGUAAAUUAAUACUUUGCUGUUUUGACGUUACCGACAGAAUAAAGCACCGGCUAACUCUGUGCCAGCA